Molecule: ribosomal RNA, 1471 nt
Filed under: uncultured Bordetella sp.
Lineage: Bacteria; Pseudomonadati; Pseudomonadota; Betaproteobacteria; Burkholderiales; Alcaligenaceae
Description: partial 16S-23S ribosomal RNA intergenic spacer
Rfam family: Bacterial small subunit ribosomal RNA
Source: RNAcentral
GAGUUUGAUUAUGGCUCAGAUUGAACGCUGGUGGGAUGCUUUACACAUGCAAGUCGAACGCGGCACGGACUUCGGUCUGGUGGCGAGUGGCGAACGGGUGAGUAAUGUAUCGGAACGUGCCUAGUAGCGGGGGAUAAUCACGCGAAAGCGCAGCUAGUUGCCGCAUGGCUGCCCUUCGGGGAAAGUAAAUCUUCGGGCCUCGCACUAUUAGAGCGGCUGAUAUCGGAUUAGCUUAGCAGGGUAACGGCUCACCAAGGCGACGAUCCGUGCUGGUUUGAGAGGACGGCCAGCCACACUGGACUGAGACAUUGCCCAGACUCUACGGGAGGCAGCAGUGGGGAAUUUUGACAAUGGGGAAACCCUGAUCCAGCCAUCCCGCGUGUGCGAUGAAGGCCUUCGGGUUGUAAAGCACUUCUUGGCAGGGAAAGAAACGGCACGGGAUAAUACCCGUGCAACUGACGGUACCUGCAGAAUAAGCACCGGCUAACUACGUGCCAGCAGCCGCGGUAAUACGUAGGUGCAAGCGUUAAUCGGAAUUCUCACGGGCGCAAAGCGUGCGCAGGCGGUUCGGAAAGAAAGAUGUGAAAUCCCAGAGCUUAACUUUGGAACUGCAUUUUAACUACCGAGCUAGAGUGUGUCAGAGGGAGGUGAAUUCCUAUGUAGCAGUGAAAUGCGCAGAUAUGCGGAGGAACACCGAUGGCGAAGCGCAGCCUGGGGAUAACACUGACGCUCGGCGUACUUAAAGCGUGGGAGCAAACAGGAUUAGAUACCCUGUAGUCCACGCCCUAAACGAUGUCAACUAGCUGUUGGGGCCUUCUGGCCUUGGUAGCGCAGCUAACGCGUGAAGUUGACCGCCUGGGGAGUACGGUCGCAAGAUUAAAACUCAAAGGAAUUGACGGGGACUCCCGCACAAGCGGUGGAUACGGAUUAAUUGAUGCAACGCGAAAAACCUUACCUACCUGACAUGUCAGGGAACUUCGAAGAGAUUUGGAGUGCUCGCAAGAGAACUGGAACACAGGUGCCGUAUGGCUGUCGUCAGCUCGUGUCGUGAGAUGUUGGGUUAAGUCCCGCAACGAGCGCAACCCUUGUCAUUAGUUGCUACGAAAGGGCACCUAAUGAGACUGCCGGUGACAAACCGAGGAAGGACGAUGAUUGCCAAGUCCCUCAUGGCCCUUAUGGGUAGGGGCUUCACACGUCAUACAAUGGUCGGGACAGAGGGUCGCCGAACCCGCGAGGGGGAGCCAAUCCCAGAAACCCGAUCGUAGUCCGAUCGCAGUCUGCAACCUGACUGCGUGAAGUCGGAAUCGCUAGUAAUCGCGGAUCAGCAUGUCGCGGUGAAUACGUUCCCGGGUCUUGUACACACCGCUCGUCACACCAUGGGAGUGGGUUUUACCAGAAGUAGUUAGCCUAACCGUAAGGAGGGCGAUUACCACGGUAGGAUUCAUGACUGGGGUGAAGUCGUAACAAGGUA